UACGUAGGCAGCGAGCGUUGUUCGGAAUUACUGGGCGUAAAGAGUGUGUAGGCGGUGCUCUAAGUUCGGUGUGAAAUCUCCUGGCUCAACUGGGAGGGUGCGCCGGAAACUGGAGUGCUUGAGCGUGGGAGAGGAAAGCGGAAUUCCUGGUGUAGCGGUGAAAUGCGUAGAUAUCAGGAGGAACACCUGUGGUGUAGACGGCUCACUGGCCCGAUACUGACGCUGAGGCACGAAAGCGUGGGGAGCAAACAGG
This 253-nucleotide ribosomal RNA is filed under the name uncultured bacterium. RNAcentral describes it as "partial 16S ribosomal RNA". It matches the Rfam family "Bacterial small subunit ribosomal RNA", at positions 524 to 776 of the family's 1533-position model. The record is from RNAcentral.